UUAAUUUUUCUAAGUUAUAAACCCUAGAUUUGCUAAUUGUAAACCCUAAUUUCUAAUUAGGCACGCUUAAUGAUAAUUAAUAAAACAUAAACCUAAUUAUCAAGUCUAUGUGAUUAGGAAACCGAAUUAAUUAAGAAACCUUAAUUUUGUAUUUUAGAAACUAAAAUUUUAUUAUUUUAUUAUUUAUUUAUUUUUUUUAAAACCCUAAAUUGGAAAUUCUAGAAAUUAUUUUUAAACCCUAAAAUGGUCCAAACCCUAAAUCCUAACCCAAACCCUAAACCCUAAGGGUUUGCAAGGAUUACAAGAUUGCCCUUAAUUUUAAAGGCCAAAUGACAUUUUUGCCCUUCUUGUAUUAUUUGAGCUUGCUUGUGUAUCUAACCCAAUAAGGAGUGGGUGACCUAACUUGUUGACAUUGUAACCUAAAUAAUGCCAGCANN
Molecule: long non-coding RNA, 437 nt
Filed under: Panax ginseng (ginseng)
Lineage: Eukaryota; Viridiplantae; Streptophyta; Magnoliopsida; Apiales; Araliaceae
Description: long non-coding RNA (PGIN_LNC003073)
Source: RNAcentral